AGGCGGUGGGUCUCUCCGGCUGAAGACCCCAGGGGAUACCGCUGGGCUGACCUGAGCUGGGGGGCGCUGUUGAGCACUGGGAGGAGGAGCCGCAGAAGUCACAGCUGGGGCUGUUGCUGCCUGUCGCCCAGGCAGCGAGCUGCGCUGCAGGUAAAAAUAGGCUGCCGGGGUGGGGAGCGCUGGAACUGCCACCUCGGAGCGAGCGGUUCUCAGCAAAAGCAAAGCAGCAUAUGGGUCUCUUGGUAACACCCUGGACCUUCUUUUAUCUUAGAACGUCUCACAUUUUCCUCAUUGACAUGUUCCGGUCGUCAGAGAGACCAGAAGGUCAAUAUCCCUGGAGGGCUCAUGGCUACGCAGACUGUGCCCCAGAGCUCAUGGAGGGCUGGUGUAUGCCACAAGAUGCCAAGAGCCACCAGGAAAAAAACAGUGCCUGAAUGGAACCCCUGAGGACAAACAGCUCAGAAGACAUUCCUCCUGCGUCCUUGAUGAUGUAUCCCAGAGGAGCUUUCUUCAUGACAGACGUGCCUGUGACCUUUAGCAGGCUGCUUUCAGGGCCAUCUCGGUGUCAAGGAGAGAAGGCACCCCUUCUCUAACCUCAGCUGCUGAACAAGACACAAGCUUCCCAGGUUCUGAGCUGUCACAGGUCAGUGGCCCCCCGGGGCUCAGCAUGGCAUUCG
RNAcentral lists this long non-coding RNA (677 nucleotides) under Capra hircus (goat). RNAcentral's name for it is "lncRNA (ENSCHIG00000008155.1)". Lineage: Eukaryota; Metazoa; Chordata; Mammalia; Artiodactyla; Bovidae. The record is from RNAcentral.